This is a long non-coding RNA of Peromyscus californicus insignis, 20431 nucleotides long. RefSeq lists it as uncharacterized. The record is from RefSeq and is a predicted model, not a curated record. Lineage: Eukaryota; Metazoa; Chordata; Mammalia; Rodentia; Cricetidae. The transcript is spliced from 3 exons.
GAACAGACUCCCACAUUUGCAGCGACUGACACGGGCUUUUGUUUCUACCCAGAUCCCCAGGAGUCUGUGGAGCACCCAGAGACGUGCAUCCUGCUGACAAGGCAGAAAAAGAUGUGUUCCAACACUUCAUUUUAAUAUUUGGCUGUCUUAGAACACGGGAACCCUCAUCAGCCGUGUCUGUGGUGUAUGUUCACCUGGGCUGUUCCUCAGGCAGCUCCUGAAAUGCUUUCCAGCCAGAGUGUGAAGGCUCUGGAGCAAUCACCUCAUGUAGCAAUUGAAAGCUCAGGGAACUGCUGGGGAUCACAGUUCUCCUGUGGGAGUCUAGGCAGAUUACACAGUCAUUAACCCCAUGGAGUAAAGGAGGAGCCGUGCAUCCGACAGCUGUGUGCUAACAAUAAGCAGACAGUAGCCACGCCAUCAAAGAUGAGUCUUGCUGCUAACUGGUUUCCUCACAAUUUCGCACAAUCCAGAUUUAUAAACUGAACUCUGUGGAAACUUUGGACUAUAAUUAUGAAGCUGUCAUGAAAUUUCACUGUUGCCUGGACAGUUCCAUAAGAACCCCGGAAUGUCUGCAUUGCUUCUGUGUACUGACUCCAGCCCUGGGGAUUUGGAACACCACUGCAGUCCUGAUUCUAACACUCAAGACCUCAGCUUUGCCCAAGACGUCUGCUUUGCUGUUCUUCUCAGCACAGGCUUUUAAAAGAAAAACAAAUCAAGCAGUGCAUCCCAUCCUCUACUCUGAGACCCAUCUCAGGCUUUACAGAAUCAAUAAAGGAGUGCGGAAUGCUAAGGGGCUGGUCUGGAUGGCAAUUAAGCAAGAAAGGAGACAUUAGGCAAAGACAGGAAAGCAAGAAAGCACCUGGUAACACACUAGGCGGCCAGACUGACAGUCCAAUCCCAUGAACAUGUACUGAGCAUCACCCAUGUCUUCUCACCACUACUGGGAAUGCAUGGGAAAGAGGAAACUCAUGAAAACCUUAAACACAAUUUCCAUGUCCAAGGAAUUUACUGGGCCUUUAGGAAGAUAAGUAAAUCAAUUUUUUUUUUUUUUAAAAAUGGCAGCCUACAACUAAUGUAUAAAAUUUGUAAAAUACUGAGCAUAAAUGUCAGAGAAGACUUCAGUAACAAGAAGUCACUAGACUCGAAGCAAAACCAGGCCUGGGUAAGACAAGACACUAUUUGAAAUAACACAGAGUAGGCAUUUGUCCAAGUUGGCGUCCCUGCUGCUAUGAUGAAACACUGACCAGAAGCAAUGGGGGUGGGGGGGGGGGAUGAGUAAAGAAAGGGUUUAUUUCAGCUUCCAGGUCACAGUCCAUCAUCAAGGGAAACCAGGGAAGGAACUCACACAGGCAUCUAAACCUAGAGGCAGAACCGGCAUAGAGAUUGUGGAGGAAAUCUGCUUACUGCCUUGCUUUCCAUGACUUGCUCAGACUACCUUCUUAUAUAACCCAAGACCACCUGACCAGGGAUGGAACUGAACUCCCCACAGAGGUUAUUGCCCUGCAUCUAUAAAAAGCUCUAAAGCAUAAAACGCAGCAGGAGAGUGGCUGAAAGCAGAACGCUAGUGCGUGCUUGUUUGUUUGUUUGUUUGUUUGUUUGUUUUUCUAGUUCAAAACAGCCUUCUAACAGUCCAGCUGUUUUACCAGACCCAUCAGAAGCUUGUGCAGCUACGGUAAAUGCAGAUAUGAUACAUCUCAAGCUGGUAGCAGAACUUAAGGUUUUACAAGCAUUCAACAUCUAAGAGUCUGAGCUAUAGAGUGUUGAACCAUGGUUGCACAGGUGCUGAGGAAACCAAGCACUAUGUGAAUUGGCCAAGGAUACAGUAAUUGCUCAGCCAGUUAGACUGGAAAUCUCAGCUGUCCCAUUAUGAUUCUUAAGGCUUGGAGGAUUCCUGGAGAGAUGCUGGUCUUCAGUCUGUAUUUGGCCCCCAAUGAAGCAGGUCCUAAUAUCAGUGAAGGAAUGCAGCAGCCACAGAACAAAUAAACCUGUAACCAAGAAUUAAGCUCACACAACUCCUGCACCUAAGUCUCAGCAACCAUCAUGGGAGAGAGAACAGGCAGAUCUUAAGAGUCAGAGGAGUAGGAAGUCUGCUGUAUGACUUUGUGUCCUAGAAAUGAAAAGGAAGCUAUACCCAUAAUACUUGAGCUGUAUGAUUAUCUAAACAAGACCCAAAUAAUCAAAGUAGUUGCCUGAUAGCUAAAGGCUGCUGGGAGAGGGAGAAUUAGUCUCUCCCAAGGAAGGGCCCCUCGGAGAGGUUGGUUAUAUUAUGAAAAGUAGUCAGCCCUGAAAUCACAUACACACAAACCACACUACCCAGACUCAGGUUGCAUUUAUAUAUUUUUACGCAUGUGUAUGUGUGUGUGUGUGUAUAUAAAACAAUAAUAAUAAUAAAAAAGAAGUCAUCAGUUUGAAGGGUGGCAUGAGAGAGGUUGGAGUAAGAAAAGGGAAGGGAGACGUUUUGUAAUUAUAUUGUAAUUAAAAGGAAUGUUUUAACACCCUUUAUGACACAGUUAAAAAAAAAAAAAGAACAAGGAGGAGGAGGAGGCAGAAGGAAGGAAGGAAGGCAUCAAAAACCCAGGUUUCCUUCUUCUGUGUUCUUUAUUUCUGGGCUGCUAGCCACAUUUAGGGUGGGUCUUCCCACUUCAAAUAACCUGAUUAAGAAAGUCUGUCUUAGAAAUGCCAGCAGCUUGCAUUUUAGUGGCCUCUAGACUUAGUCAAGUGGCCAUAGCACAUGACACUGUAAAUUUUCCCUCAAGGGCUCUGAAGAGGGAGUUCAGGCCACUUAGUGGUGAACAGGAAAAUAAGUCGCCACCUGCACCAUCUAUGAUCCAGUGGAACUGUAACUGAAUUGACAUUUCCUUGCAAAUCUGUAAGUGCCAGCUACAGUGGUGACACUUUGUAUUUCUUCUGUAUUGGAAAUGCUUUUGUAUUUUAAGGAGCUGACAAUAGAAGCCAAGCGAGAAAGAGGAGCAACUGAGUGUUAUCUCCUCCAAUUCAUUUAACUGUCAUUCACUUUUAUGCCUCUCCCACUGGGUUCUCUGAGAGCCUAGCUUCUCUGAAACACGCAGCCCAGGUACCUUGCCCCACUCUGUAUUCCAAAUGGGAGCACAGGCAUCUAGGUGGUAGAGGCUGGUGAUUAAGGGCAGAUAUUUUCCUUCCUGAGAAAGUCUUUGCUCCCUGUGGUUUUGCUGGGAGACGCUCUCCCUUCAAACAAAGUAGGUCGUGGAAGCUUCCUUCUGUAGUUUUAGCUCUUUCUGGUUGGCCUGGCAUCACUGGAUUCUCUGGCUUCAUUAGCUCUGGGUAGCACAUGUUCUGCUGCUGCCAGUCUUGGAGGGCCCCAUCAUCUAGUUUACUUCCCAGGCACCAUCAUUCCUUCCUUCCCUAGACUGCAUAGGCUUUUGUACCUGGGUCUUUCCUUGACCUUUCAACUUAAAACUUCUGAAUGGCAAAAAUUUAAUACUAAUCACAUUUUUUCCCCUUUCUUGACUAUGCUUAUACAUCAUAUCAAAAAACUCUUCCCAAUACAAAACAAUCAAAAUCAAGAUUUCUUUCCAUGGUUUCUUACAGUGUUUUAGUUUUACAGUUUAUGUUUAAGAGUAUGACCUCUUUUGAGUUAGUUUUCUAUAAGGUGUGGUGUGUAAAUAAAGGUUAAUUUAAUGGACUGUGUGUGUAAUUAUUAUAGCAUCAUUUGUUUUUAAUAAAAGACAUAUUAUUAUAAAAACAAUUCUCUUUUUUCACAGUGAAAAAGUCUUAGAAUUAUUCCAAUUAUUCUCUCCCAUCCUUGAUAUUAAUUUUGUCAUUUAUUUUACUCUCCAUAUGCUACUUAAAAAGCAACAUAUUGUUACUGUUUAUUUUCAGUUAAGUCCAAUUGACCUGUACAGGUUGUUACCUGCCAGGAACCUAGUAGUACUGUGUCCCAAGACCACCUUUUCCCUUAGAAACCCAGUGGUCACAUGGGACUGACUUAAUGUCACUGAAAUGGAUUUUCCUAGUCCAGCCAGAUACGCUUCCAGGAAUGGUCUCAUCUUGCACUGUGGGACUUUUUGUCCCAGAGUGCUAUUGGGCUGGUUGCCUUGGCAGAAUGUGUCUGUGGUUGUGAGUUGCUGAACACAACAAGCUUUAAACAAUUUCAUCUUCUUCCAUUGAACAUGAUAAGUGAUAAUAGUUGUUUAAAUAUGAUACUCAAAGUAAUUUUCAGAUCACUCAAAAAUCUGCAGGUAAUAGCCAUCAACCUCCUAUGAAAAGUACGUCAGAUAUGUGUAAUGCUGUUUUAAAAAUAUCUAGACUUCUCUUAAAGUGCUUAUUUGUGGUAUGUGUGACUUUUUAAAAAUUAUGUUUUUUAACAUUGUAUUUCAUGAAGAAAACAAUUUGUGAAAGUAUCUUCUUUUCCUUUGGGGGUUUCUGUAUUUCAUAAUGUUUUACAAUUGAAAAAUAUAGUAGUGGGCAACACAAAUACCCAUAAAAGAGAAAAGUGAUUAAGAGAUAGCCUUGUAAUUGCAAUACAGGACAAACGUGUGUUUAUGUUUCCUCCAUGUAUGUCUUCAGUUAUUUUAAUCAUUCAUUACUCACAAAUGACUCCAUUUUGAAAAGACUAUUACUUUAAGAUCAUUAAAGAAUGUCUCAAAUAUUGGAAGUAAAGACAAAAUAUGUAACUGAGUGACAGGGAUGUAGGUGAGCAGCAGAGUGUAUGAAGCUUGGAGUCACUCUCCAGCAAAGAAAGGAAGGAAGAAAACAAGGAAGGAAGGGAAGGAGGGAGAAAGGAAAGAUUGCUGUUCAGGAGAAAAAUGAGACUUCUACUUGUUUUCAAAUUUUUAAACAAGAGUUUAUAUAUUUUUCUACUUUUUUGAAACUUCAGAAAUGAAGCAAGUCCAAUUGGAGAGCUGUUGGUUACCAUUCAGGUGUGCUCGUGCAUGCCACUACUGUGCCCUGAAGCUUAUCAUGUCAUGCUGGUUCUUGUACCUCAUGGAUGUCAGAGCUGAUUAGAACUGUUGGUUGUCUCCUUUCUCCUUUGGGAAGCUUGCAAGGUGCUUUCUGGUACCAUUUUUUUUAAAGAUAAAAAAUAAGCAACCAAAACCCAAAAAAGUGAAGCAAAGCAUUUUUAGUAUUUCUUCUGGGAAGAAACUUUAGCUAACUAUUUGCUGAAGAAGAAACAAUGUUGCUAUUUACCCUCAGUGAUUGGCACAGUAACUUGCCCUCCACUUCCCCAUCCUUCUUUUAGAUAGAACUAUUGUGACAACAACCCCCACCCCCCCCCACCCCUCCCCCGUGACAUAUGUGAGUGCCACCCUUUUUAAUUACAUUGAAGCAACUUCAUGGUAUGUUUACUGCAUUGCAGAAUGCAAUUAGGCCCCGUGUGAUGAGCAAGGAAGCAUAAGAAAACAGCUUUGCAGGGGAGUUAAGAUUGAUAGACCCGGCCCUACUUGGUGAUUAGGGGAAUAAACUACAGCUCGUAACCUGUGCAGUACAGAUAACAACUGCAACGUAAUUUUCAGCAUGAAUGAACCAGUAUGGUCCAGUGACAGCAAAUUUCACUGUGAAUGUGAGAUUACAAUGGAGGGCUGAGAGGAGAAGAGAAAAUGGAAGUGCUUAGAAGAAAAUGAGUUGAUAAGAAAAAAAAUUUGAAGACCUGAAUUUUACAGGCUAUUCUUUGGUUUAUCAGAAAAACAAGAAACACCAGAACUAGAGGCGAUACAAAUAACCCCUACCAUGGUGGAUUUAUUUUUUGCUGUUAUUAUUUUUUUUACAUCACAUAUAAACACAGCAAAUUGUUACUGUUUCUACACCAGCUUCAAAACAGAACUUUGGAAAGUAUUUGGGGCUGGAGAGAUGGUUCGCUGUAUAAAGCGCUCGCCUUACAUGUGUGAGGACAGGAGAUCAGAGCCCACCACAAGUGUGUAAAAUCCAGGCAGGCCUGGUGGCCCAUCUGCAAUCCCAGCACUUGGGAGGUGACACUCCCCAGUGCAAGCUGGCUACCUAGAAGAGCCCACCACAGUCAACCUGCUCCAGUGAGAGACACUGACUCAAUAGAUAAGGUGGAAAACCAUUAAAGAAGGCAUUCUACGUCAACCUGGGGCCUCCGCAUGCACGCUCCUAAGGGUGUGCCCACACAUUGCAAACAGCCACAUUUAUAUCACACACACACUUGUAAAAAUAUUUAAAAUACCAAGUACUGUGGAAAACAUUUUGAAGUUAAAAUACUCAUGUCUUAAACAGAAUGAUGAAAUAAUUCUUCAGGGCCCCAAUUCUAUAGUUUUGUUUGUUUGUUUGAUUUUUGGGGAGUGUUUUAGGAUAUCUAAGUUAUCAUAUAGAAAGUUAUCAAAACAAAACUAUGAAAAAGAGUAACAAUAAACUCUUACUGAUCUCCUUGGAUGUUAUGAUUUUAUUAUUUUAAUUAACUUUCACAAAAUUAUGAGAAAUAGGCAAUGAAAUAACAUCUUCCAUAAACAAAAUGUAAUGAAUAAAUUUAAUAGUAAUUUGAUCACUACAGUAAAUUAUUAAAUGUAUUUGUAAAUAUAUUUAAUAAUCAUAGUAAAUUGAUUUUUUGUUUUUCUUUUUGAAAUUAUUACAUAAUUAAAAUAUUUCUCCAUUUCCAUCCUUCCUCUAAACCUUCCCAUAUACCCCUCAUAGUUCUCCUUCAAAUUCAUGGCCUCUUUUUUCAUUUAUUAUUAUAACAUGAUUAUAUAUGUAUAGAUAUGCAUAUAUAUUUCCUAUAUUUAACCUGCUCAGUACAUACAAUGAUACUAAUAUGUAUGGGAAGCUACAAGGCCUCAACGCUACACAAAGAACGACAUGCAACUCAGGAAGGCUGAGAGUGGGAGAAAUCGUCUUCCCCAGGGAAGAGCACACCAAUCAGUUAUCCAAUACCAAGGUGGUCACCCCUGAAACAUACAUACCAGUGACAUUAUGCAGACUGAGCAAGUUACAUUUAGAAAUAUAUGUAUAUAUAUCUAUAUCUACAUAUAUGUAUAUAUUUCUACAUAUAUGUAUAUACAUUUCUACAUAUGUAUAUGUAUGUAUUAUAUAUGUAUCUAUGUAUAUAAACAUAGAUAUGUAUAUUUAGAAACAUGUAUAUAUACCUACAUAUAUUCUUGUAAUAACAAUUAAUGAAAAAAGAGGACAUGAACUUGAAAGAAAACGAGGGAAAUGUAGGAGAGUUUUGAGGAAAGAAAAGGAAGAAAUCAUGUAGUUAUAUUAUAAACUCAAAAUUAAAAGAAAAAACAGAAAUAAUAUCUGUUAAAAUGUGUUAGGAAAAAGUAAAUGUUUUAAUUUCAACUAAUGACAAUGAAGUACUUAGAGGUUAAUGUCUUAACCUUACCCAAAGAUAAUCCCUCUUAGGGUGCUUUUAAAUAAAUUGACAGAUACUAUUAUUAGAGGUUGACAUUUUCUAUACUGCAGUUGGAAAGGAGAGUUCAGAUUGAUGCAGGAAUCAUGUAUUAUUGCAUCUGUGUUUUAUAAUAUAAACAUAAAAAUUGCUAUCAUAACUGAAUUGGGAAGAUUAAAAUAGAAUUGCACAAAGUGAAAUACUGCAUGUGGAGUAUAAAUAAGUGGAAUGUCAAAUGGGUGCUUCAUUUAUCACACAAAUCCAAAGUCUGCAAGAAUGAAAAUGUAAACAUUCUAGUUUUCUUAUAUUUUUUGAAAAGCAAAGGGACACACAUGGAUGUACAUUUUUAUUUCAUUAGUCUCAACAAGUGAUGUGAUUCCAGACAAGCCAUGAAAAAUGUUCAGUGAAUGGCUGAUAAAUGGAUGAAGAAAAUGCUCUGCUUCUGUGAUUGAAAAAUAUGAAUUAAAACCACAGUGUGUUGUCCCUGCAUGAUUACCAGAAAGAUUACAGUUUAAAUGACUAUUCUUGAGGAUAUUGGACAAGGGAAGCUGCUGUGAGAUAUCUUUCUGUAUGCUGUGAAUAUAUGCUGUUUCCAUUGGUUAGUGAAUAAGGAUGUUUUGGCCUAUGACAAGAAAGUUUAUAACCAGGCAGGAAAUCCAAGUAGGGAGACAGAGAGAAGAAGGGUGGAGUGAGGAAGACACUGGCCACUGAGCAAGGAGCAGCAAGAUGCCCGCAGACCGGUAACGCCAUGGCCACGUGGCAACUUAUAGAUUAAUAGAAAUGGGUUAAUUUAAGAAGGAAGAGUCAGCUAGCAAGAAGCCUACCAUAGGCCAUACAGUUGGUAAUUAAUAUAAGCCUCUGAGUGAUUAUUUUAUAAGCAGCUGCAGGACUGUGGGGCCAGGUGGAACCGGAGAAACUUCCCACUACAGGAGGCAUUUUGUUUUCAAUACUAGGAAAAUGUAGUUUUGGAAAGAGUUCAACAUUGUCUAGUAGUGAAUAUAUGCAUUCCAAAAGACCAAUAACUUCCAUUAACAGUGAAAGGUGACAUUUCUGACCACAGGGUUUAGCAUGGAGUUUAUAUCAUAUGAUUAGAUUAUGGAUCUACAAAAUUUCCUGAUUAAUUGAAUACAAUACAGAACUACAAAGCAGAACUUUAAGAUUUGGGGCUGGAGUAAUGGAUGGGUGAUUGGCUGAGAUAGUGAGGACCACAGGUCGACCAGGGAACCCUUUUUGAAUUUGCAAUGCUGAUUUGGUGUUAAAGCAGAGAUGCUAAGUGAGCUAUUCUUGUGCAAAGGGCUGAGCUGUGAUUGGGAAUCUAGAGUUGUUCCAUAGAUGAUUGUUAUAGUUAUACCACUAGCUUGUGCUAUUGAGGAAGUAAUUAGAAACAAUGGAAGAGAGACCGGUCCCUGAUUAUAAUUACAGUAAACAUUAAAAUGUGACUGCACUAUGAAAAUGAAGAAACAAGUUAAUAAGAAUGCAUCCCAGGCAUUUCCCAACUGCCUUGGAGCUCUUUCCUUGUACCUACAAGUCACUUUCCACAACCACCUUAUGCUGAUUUCCCCUCUAACACUCUCUGUCCUAAUGAAUGUCUCCCUCAGUCUCCCUCAUUCAUCCAUCUCCCACCUGCUUUCCAGGAAACAUCCAAAGUUUUCUGACCUGAUUAUUCUCAAGUUCUUGCAAAUUUCUACUUUGUAACAGAUAGUAGUUUAUGGUACUUGUGUGAGUUUCCGUCAUGGAAAAAACACCUAUGCAAGUUGUGAACUUUCUCACAUAAUUAUGUAAUUAUACAAUGAAAAAUAAAUGAACAAAUAUAAAAGACAACAAUAUUUUCUUCAGAAAACCAGACACAAGACCCAUUGCUUUCUUGAGAUUAAAAUGCUUAAACUUUAUGGUGUUACUUUGUCUGAAUGAAUUCAUGUAAAAUUGUAACUGAAAAAAAUUAAUAAAUGGAACCACAUUGUUUUUUUUAUGUGUAUGUAUGUAUGUAUGUGAUGUGUGUGUGUUUGUGUGUGUGUGUGAGUAUGUGUGUGUGUAUAUAUGCAUGUGUUCAGAUGUGUGUAAGUGCACUUGUGGGUGAAUGUAGGUUAUGAGUAUAAGAAUGCAUGUGUAUGGAGCCUGAGGCUAAUGGGAGUUUCCACUCCUUGCUCUUGGCCUACUCAUAAAUGUGGGCUCUCUCAGGUGAACCCCGAGCUCUGUGAUAUUGCUCAUAUAGCUAAAUAGCUUACUCAGGAGAUUCUCUGCCUCCUGCUUUCCAGCUCCAGAAUUACAGUUGGGCUGCCAGGCUCACUGGCAUUUACAUGAAUUCUGAGGAUCCAGUGUCUCUGGUCUUCAAGCUUGCUGCUAACAUAGCAAAGCUUUAAGUACAGAGCCAUCUCCCCACUUUCUUAAUGUGCAAUUAUAUCAGUAAAGGAAUCUGCAGUAUAAACACAUGGUAAGAGAAGCAGUGACCCUUCCAUUCCUUGCUUUGAUUUUCUAUUUUUCAAUUUUGAUUUUAUUUUUCUAUUCUUCCAUUAUAUCUGUAAAAGGAAACACAGGAUAAAAAACUAGAUGGAGAAAAGUAAGUAAUCCGUGUUUACUAAACUAUGCCUACAUCCUGAGUAGGGCUAGAUAAACAAAGAAUUUUUAUUGUUUUACACAAAGGCACCAAUCUGGGUGGGCAGGAUUUGGGAUAAGUAGGAAGACUGUAUACCAGUUAAAAUCCCAACAGGAAGGGGAUGGUAUAUUCAGAAUUCAGUUAAAGAUGAUUUACUGACUAGGCUAUCAGUAGGAAAAAUAGGCAAUAUGCAGAAAACCUAUAAAGGAUGGUGAAACAUCCAUGGGAGUAGAAACAAUGGGAAUUCAUUACUUCUUAGUAUGAAGGAACAAAGUGAAGGUCAUGGACUGCAAGGCUGCUCUGUAAAGGCUGCACUUCGAAACAGAAGAGUGGAGCACCAGAAUAGUUUAAAUACCCAACCAUCAUCCCCUCACACUUUCAUCUCUGGAAGCCAUGUUUCAUUGCUGAGCCCUUUUGUUAGCCACAGGGGAAAGGAGCUGGAAUAAGGAAGUGUGGCAAUUCCCAAUCCUGACUGAGCAUCUCAACUCUGUCCCAGGUCUGUGUAAUUGAUUGUGAAACUUACAAGUGGCACAUUCAUCAAUCUAUCAUGUUAAUAAUAAUUGCCUUGAGCAGAGAUGAUGAAACAUGACUUAUACUGCCAAGUUACGAUACCAUCAAUAAUUCAUGUAAUUGAUGAUAAAUAAAACAAUGUAAAAUGAAGGGGUAAUAAAAUAGGAUAGCAGGAAAAUACAAAGCUGACAUAAAGUAAAUACUUAAGAGAACAUUUAAGUUAAUGCAUAUUUUCCAGCUAAGUAAUAAAUAUCAAUUACUAAAAUGUGGCAUUGGAGACACGGGACAAAAAAUACACAGAUAUAUAUGCAUAUUAGACUAGCAGUUUUUUAACCUAUUUGAUACUUUGCAUGAAUGGAAAUAGCUCGGCAUGAAGCAAAGUUUGUUAAUCCAAUGUUUGGCCGUAUUUCACAAAACAGUGAUAAAAGCCAUAGGCAUGGUGCAGAACUUAACUCACAGUGUGGUUCUUCCUGCAUCAAAGGGGCAACACAUAUUGAUCUUGGCAUGGCAAUAAAGGUAAGCUGAAAGAAAUCGGGUUGAAAUUGUAUUUGCCGUCAAAAACUAUGCAACAAAAUUAGGUGAAGAGUGCAGAGGUUCUUAAUAAACACACAAAAAAUUUUUAUAUGCUAUUACUUAAAAUUACACAAGGCUUAUGUCAUUUCAGCUGUGGCAAACGUCUCACACUUUCCAGUUUACAUACCAAUGACACCUACUCGUGGAAGUUGGGUUCUCAGAGAGGGUUAUGGAGAGGAGACAGUCUGAGUGUGAGCUUUCAUCUAGUAUUCACAACAGCUUGACUAAAUCUCCAGCUCAAGACAUUGUUGCUCUCCAACAUUUACACUCCACAUAAUGCUAAAAAAAUUACAAGAUUGUACAUGUCGCUUCCCCAUUGUGGUAUGACGCCACUUGACUACAGAUUUUAAGAUCUAUUAAAUGAGAAUUUCAAGAAUUCUUGGCAUCUGAUUUAAGAAAAUCCAAGUCAUUUUUCCUGGGAAGCACUUGAGCAGGUGGAUUUUUUACCAAGCUGAGUGCUUUCCAUUUUCUGUUAUGACACUUAGUAUUUCCAGAAACAACCAUGUGGGACAGGCAGCAAAGAAUACACAUGUUUACUUGGGAUGAAAUAAUGCUCACCCAUGAAGUAAUAAUACCAUUUAAAUAUAUUAAGAUAAUAUAUAAUUGGGAAAUGUAAAGCUAUGUUUGGCAUUUUGGUCUUGGAUUUAUCUUCUGGAAUGAACUGUGUAUUGGUGGGUGAUACAGAAUUGAAGAGAAAAUGCACACAACUUAAACAUCAGUGUAGCUCUGUGUUUGCACUAACUACACAGGGGCAGUUUUUUAUGUUUUCUCUUUAAUAUUCUAGACAUGAUUUUAUUCAAUAUGAGCAAAUAGGUUUGAUAUUACGAACUUUUCUUAUGUCUUUAAAGGAAGGAAAAGAUUUAUUUUAUACUUUGCUUGCAGUGUAGAAAAAUGUUGAGGAAGAAACAGUGACCACUUUCUGAACUAAAUGUUAAAAAAAAAUGUGGUAUGUGAUUAAUAAUUUUAUCUAACACAUAAAUCCAAAAGUUAAAACUAUGGUGUAUUUUAAAAAAGCGUAUCUGAGAAUAUGUGUAAUUGGUGACAGUGUGCAAUUUUAUCAGAUUUCAGAUAAUAAAUUUUGUUUGAGAUCUCAGGUGUAAUUAUAAGACAAAUUUAAUAGGAAUAUAAACUGGUAAAAUCAUAAUAUUCUGAAACUGUCCCUGCUAAGUGUUUCUAGGAUUCACUUUACAGCAAAUCCACGUGGUUAUUGCCAAUUAAGAAAAACACAAGUUUUAUGGCAGCAUGUGCAUGUGCUAAUGAAAUACUUUUGUUUGGCUGCAAGAAUGCUUAGUCCUGGAUCCCUGAGUCCUCUUAGUUACCAGAGCCGCCACAUUCUGCUGAUCUCUAGAAACAUCUGCUUCCUUUCACUGCUGUAUCAUGAUAGCUACCGUGAUUUUUAGGGCACAGUUUUUCCCUCAAAAAUCAUUGUUUCACAUGUUUAUCUAGUCUUAUAGACCAGAAGUUCUCUGUUCAUAGAAUUCAUGCCUACUUCAUUAAUAUCUCUGCCACAACUACUGCAGCCAGAUUUCUCUGGACACCCUGUGCAUAUAGAAACUCUUCGUUUAGUAGAUGAUGACUAAUCACCGAGCCCAGCUCCCGUAUGUCUUAUAACAAAGACCAUUUGGUUAGAACAUUUGUAUGUACUUUUUCAAAUUUUUCCAACAAUUCAGAGCUGGAUUUCUCAAAAUAUGCCUCUAGGACAGGGAGCAUAAAUAUCACGUAGAAGUUGAUUGUUAGUGAUAAUUUUUUAAGGCAGAAUGACAUGGCAUAGACAGAAGUAUUGCCAAUCAGUGAAAAAGAAGCAAGGUAUAUGGUACAGUAGAAAUAAAAAAGAUAAACAUGUCCUAUUCCUGAGUUUCUUUACUGUCAUAUUGCUUCAAACAAAAACAUCUCAGUAUAGACAAGUGACCACGUUAAGUGUAAGGAAUGGGAUUUACUUUAUACGUGUAAGAAGGUUUUGAGACCCACUGCCAGGAUCUUUGAACAUUCUGUCAUUUUGCACUUAUUAGCCAACAAGCCAGGCUGCCAGAGUUUCAUGGACAUAGCCAGAAGACAGUCUUGUUCAGUGUGGAGCAAAAGGACUUUGUCAUUCACUGCAAUAAGAGCAUGAUUUUGCAGGCCACUUCUUCUGAAUGACCAUCUUUCAAGGUUCAGCCUGUAUUCCAGCCAAAGUGAUGUCGUUUUUGGUCAUCCAAGGAUAAAGGAAUUUCUAACUUGACAAACUACAUUUUUCUGGUUAUGAAAAUUAUUUGGAGAUUUAAGAUAUUUGUACUUUAUAUUUUUAAUUGUAUUUUCUCAUUUUUCUUCAUUUUCCAAUUUAGGUUUGUAGUUCCUUUGACAGAUGUUAUUUUGUGCGUCUAAGUAACCAUAUAAUUCUCUAAGACAGUACUUAGAAUAUCCAAAAGUCUCUCAAAAGUUCACUGUGGUUAGUAUAUUUUGCUUUUUUCACAUUAAAAUAAUUCAAAUCUGAAGAAAAUGUGGUGCAUUUACAUAAUGGAAUAUUACUUAGCUGUAAGAAACAAUGACAUCAUGAAAUUUGCGCAUAAAUGGAUGGAACUAGAAAAAAAUCAUUCUGAGUGAGGUAACUCAGACCCAGAAAGACAAACAUGGUAUGUACUCACUCAUAAGUAGAUAGUAAGUGUAAAAUAAAGGAUAACCAGACUAUAAUCCACAGCUCCAGAGAGGCUAGGUAAUAAGGAGGGCCCAAAGAGGGAUUCAUGGAUUUCCCUGGGAAGGCAAAUAGAAGAGAUCUCCUGGGUAAAUGGGGUGGAAGGGCAUGAGGAAUCUGGUUGGGUGGGUUAGGGGUGAAAUAGAGGGGGAGAGUAAAGAAAGCGAUGUCUUUUGGGGGGGCAUUUGGGGGUUAGGGAGAAACCUGGUUCCAGGGAAAAUCCCAGUAAUUCACAAGGAUGAUCCCAGCUAAGACUCCUAGCAAUAGUGGAGAGGGUGCCUGAAGUGGUCUUCUCCUGUAAUCAGAUUGGUAAGUACCCUAAUUGUCACUAGAGAGUCUUUAUCCAGUAACUGAUGGUGGCAGAUGCAAAGAUCCACAGCCAAACACUGGGCCAAGCUCCAGGAGUUCUGCUGAAGAGAGGGGGGACCAGAUUGUAUGAGCCAGUGGGAACAAGGUCAUGACAGAGGAAUUCAUAGAAACAGCUAACCUGAGGUCCUUGGAGCUCAAGGACUCUGGACUAACAGCUAGGGAGCCUGCAUGGGACCAACCUAGGCCCUCUGCAUGUGUGUGACAGUUGUGUGGCUGAGUCUGUUUGUGGGGCCCCUAGCAGUGGGAUCAGGACCUGGGAAGCUGGUUUUGGGGAACCUAUUCCCCAUGCUGAGUUGCUUUGCCCAGCCUGGAUUCAGGGGGAGAGGCUUGGUCCUGCCUGAACUUGAUGUGCCAUGCUUUGUUGACUGCCAUAUGAGGCCUGCCCCUUUCUGAAUGGAGACAGAGGAGGAGUGAAUGGGGGGGGUAGGUGGGAGACAGGGGGAAUAGGAGGAGGGGAGAUAUGGGAAACUGUAGUUGGUAUGUAAAUAAAUGAAAAAAAUUAAUUAAUAAAAUUAAAAAAAUAAUCCAAAUGAAACUACCCCAACAACACAAAAUCUAGAAAGACAAAGAUAUCAUGCUAAUAAAAUUACAUUGUAAGUAAAACAGUUCUUUGAUCUUCCAUUGGAUGUCACCUUAAAUACUUUUUUUUGAUUUUAUAAUAUGAAUUUUUUUAAAGAUUAAGUAUAUUCAUAUAUUUCUUUUGUUACUUUAAAAAAUAUAAUAUUUUUAGUUGUGUAGGUAAAGGGGAGUAUGUGCAUGAGGCAGGAGGUACCUGCAGAGGUCAGAAGAGGGCACUAUAUCUUUUGGAACUGGAGUUACAGGCAGUUAGGAGCUGCCAGACAUGGGUGCUGGGAACUGAACUCAAGUCCCCUGGAAGAGUAGCAGGUGCACUUACCACUAAGCUGUCUUGCCAACUCCUUUAGAAUAUUAUUUUAAGAUGUGUUACAUUUGUUUAUGCUGUGGAACAUUUGUUUAAUGAUGCAAAGAUGUACUGCAUUCAUUGCAUCUGUUUAACUCUGUGAAGCUGUGUUACUGUGCCUGCCUAAAACACCUGAUGGUCUAAUAAAAAGUUGAACAGUCAAUAACAAGACAAGUGAAAGGAUAGGCAGGGCUGGCAGGCAGAGAGAAUAAACAGAAGGAGAAACAUGGGAGAAAAAAGAAGUAAUCAGAGAAGGAGAAGGACAUCAGGGACCAGCCACCCAGCCACUCAGCCAGCCAUAGAGUGUAAGUAAGAUAAACAGAAGUAAGAAAAGGAAAAAUGCCCAGAGGCAAAAGGUAGAUGGGAUAAUUUAAAGUCAAGAAAAGCUGGCAAGCAACAAGCCAAGCUAAGGCCAGGCAUUUAUAAUGAAUAAUGAGCUUCCAUGUAAUUUAUUUGGGUGCUCAGUGGAGGGCCCCCAAAAGAGCCAAAGAGUAAAAAAUGAACAACAACCAUUUGGUGCCCAAUGUGGGGCCAUAGAAAGCUGAACAACAAUUUGGUGCCCAACAUGGGGGUCAAAUUUCCAUAGUGCAUGAGAAAGCUUAAAAAAAAAAAAGACACAGCUCUGCUCCUUUAAGAAGUGGAGCCAGCCGGGCCGUGGUGGCGCACGCCUUUAAUCCCAGCACUCGGGAGGCAGAGCCAGGCGGAUCUCUGUGAGUUCAAGGCCAGCCUGGGCUACCAAGUGAGUUCCAGGAAAGGCACAAAGCUACACAGGGAAACCCUGUCUCGAAAAAAAACCAAAAAAAAAAAAAAAAGAAGUGGAGCCAUUAAGCCAGCUGCGAUAAAUAAAAUCAGCAAACUAAGUAAAAACUGCUUGUGGCAAAGCAGGUACUGGCUUCUGUGGUGAUAUUUUGUUUGUGCUCUAACAAAUAAAGCUUGCCUGGAGAUCAGAGUGAGAAGUUAGCCACUAGUUAACCAUAGAGGCCAGGCAGUGGUGGCACUCACCUUUAAUCCCAGCACUUGGGAUCUCAUGCCUUUGAUCCCAGUACUUGGGAGGCACAUGUAUUUAAUCCCAACACUAAGGAGGAGGAAACAGGAAAUGACAUGGCUGGGCAGAAAGAGGAAUAUAAGGUGGGUGGAGACAGGAGCUUGGCCCCCCUUUCAGGCUGAGGAGUAGGUGAGGCAAGAAGUGGCUGUGGCUAACUCUUUUGUCUUUUUGAUCUUUCAGCAUUUACUCCUAUAUAUGACUCUGGGUGUUUAUUAUUAACACCAAUUGUGAGUCAUGCCACAGGCUUCCUACAGCUUGAAAGGUUGAAUGUACUUCCUGGUCAUGCACCUCCAAUCUGACCACAAGUUUUAGGCUUGGCUUUCAUGACCUCAAAAGCAGGUGGAGGCAGCCACCAAAGCCCUGUGGAGGUCCGUGAUGCUUAGUAGUCUAAAGGUUUGCUCACACAGUCAAAAUAGACUAAAAGAAAUGCAGUAAAAGAGAUCCAGAUUGUAAAAAAAAAAUUUAAACAGGUUCCAGUGUGUUUUACAAUGUAUAUAGACUUAAGAAAGAAUGAAUAUGGGUAUUAACAGUUAUAGAAAGAAGAAAUAGUUUAGAACUAGUAAAGUCUUUAGAGAGAGGGUAAAAGUAAUAUAAAAGAAAAAGCCAUGUAAAGAUGGGAAAUACACAGGGAGUCUGGAUCCUGUAUGUUAUUGUGUUGAUUUUGAAUUUUUGAAUGUUAAUAAGCAAACAAUAGCUACUAAGAGACAUGGGAUUGUGAAGUGGACUGCCUAAUUGAACCAACCUGGAUACUUUAGGAAUGCCUUAACUUUAAAAAAGAAAUUUUAAAAAAGUUUUACUUUGGGAAAGAGGUUUUGCUUUUGUUUCCAAAGGAAACAAGAAGAUGUGGAUUUGUUCCAGGUUAAUAUGGAUCAGGUUUGAUCAAGGGAGAUCUCCUGAACCUUGACAGGUGAUAUCUAUCAAUAAAGAUUUUAGCUUGUCUUCCCAAAACUUGGCGAUUAUCUCAAAUUUUCUCUCUGGGACCCUAAAGAUGCUUUAUCCACAGACAGCUGGAAGCAAUUUGGAGAAUACUAUGCCCACAUUCCCAAGAUGGGUAUGGGAGGCUUUUAGUUAUUUAGUGGGUUAUGGAUGCUUGUUAACAUUUAGGGGAAUAUGGAAAUGAUGAGAUAAAAAGGUAGGUUACUAAAUCUACUUUAAAUAAUAGGGUAGAUUAUUGAAUCUACUGUAAACUUAAAGACAACUAUAGAUUUCAGGUAUUUAUAUUUGUAGGAACUUUUGCAUAUCAUAAAUUUAAGGUAAUUUUUAUUACAACACACUGUAUAUAUGCUUUUACUCUUAUUAAAGGAUUUUUGUAUAUUGAUACAAAUUUAAGGUUAUUUUUGUUACAACAUAGUGUAUAUAUGUUUCUACUCUUGUUUAAGGUAUUGUACCUAUGCAGUUCAUUUCAAAAUGCAAGGUAAAAUUCUAGUUUUUGAAAACUAUUAUUAUGAACUAUUUUAGAUAAUCAAGAAACACAGGUCAGUAGUUAGUCAUUUAUAACAAUCAAAUUUGUAGAUAUGUUAGGCAUGCUUUCUAGAUCUUACAGAGACAUAGUUUAGAUAGAGCAAUGGUUUCCAAAUACUUCUAAGACCGAUAGAAUGUGGCAUUUAAAAUGUUUUGUUAACAUAAGUGUGGUGAUAUUUUAUUUGUGCUUUGAUAAAUAAAGCUUGCCUGGAGAUCAGGGGGGAAAAGUCAGUCAUUUUAAGUAAACAAGGUCAGGCAGCACAUGUCCUUAAUCUGAUCACUUAGCAGGCAGGGUUUCUGUGUGUUCAAGGCCAUACUUGGGAAUAGAGCCAAGCAUGGUGACACACGCCUUUAAUCCAGUACCAAUCAUAGAGACCUGGAGGUCUAUACAGACAGGCAGUGACAAGGAAAUGAGGUAGCUGGGCUGAGAGCCAAUGAAAAGGCAGAAAAGCAAGGCAUAUGAAGAUGUGGGUAGACAGGAAGUAGCUAACAUUUAGAAUCUUCAGAGCUGGUGAGAUAAAGUUGUCUGGUGGCUAUUUCUAUUUCCAUGAUCUCUAAGGCUUUCACCCCUAUAUUUGGCUGUGUUUUUUAUUUAAUAAGACCAUUUAGAAAUUCAUCUAUACCUAAGUUUUUUCAUGACAAUGUGCUGUGGGAUGGUCUGUAUGUCAAAUGUGUUGCUGAUUGGUCAAUGAAUAAAUCACUGAUUGGCAGUGGUCAGGCAGGAAGUAUAGGCGGGACUAACAGAGAGGAAAAUUGAGAGAACAGGAAGUUGGGUGAGGAGACACUGCCAGCCGCCAUCAGGACAAGGAAGAUGUAAAGUACUGGUAAGCCACAAGCCACGUGGCAAGGUAUAGAUUAAUAGAAAUGGAUUAAUUUAAGCUGUAAGAACAGUUAGCAAGAAGCCUGCCACGGCCAUACAGUUUGUAACCAAUAUAAGUCUCUGUGUUUAUUUGAUCGGGUUUGAGCGGCUUGGGACUGGCGGGUGAGAGAGAUUUGCCCUGACUGUGGGCCAGGCAGGAAAACUCCAGCUACAAAUGGCGUCCAACGUGGUGGCAAGAGUUUCCACCUAAAACCUGAGAAAAAAGAUUCUAAAACGGAGCUAAAAACAGCUUCCUAAUUGUCUCUCUCAAAUGAGCAGCAGCUGCCGGUUUGAGCUACUGGCGGGUUGCUGGCGUGCGCGUUCGAUCUGCAGUAUGGCGGGAAUGAGGCCUCUGCAAGUGGCACAUUAAGCUACAUUGUGGAUUUAGCCUUUGCUAGUACAAAACAAAAAAAGAGGUUUCUGGGCUACAUGCUGCUUGUAUAAAAACAUAGACCCACGAUGGCUCCCAGAGCUGGUGGUAAGCAUAAUGCCGCCAUGUUGGGAAGCUGAGGUGGGCGGAGCCAGCAGCCACAGCUGCUGCAGCUUAAAGCAACAGAUUCACAAUAAGACAGAUUCAGAUGUAAUAGUUUAAAAUGUGUGUAAAAUAUACGUAGGCUUGAAAGAGACAAAAAAAGGUGAUAUAUACAGUAUAGAAACAAAUACAUGGUUUUAAAAAAUAAAGUCUUUAAAGAGACAGUAAAAUUAAUAUAAAAAAUAAGCCACGUAGAGAUGACUAUUACACAGAGAGUCUGGAUUGUGUUGUCUUUGGGAUUCUUAACUACAGAGAGAUAUUUGAUUGUAAAGGAAGCUGAGUUAAACCAGUAUGUAUAUUUUAAAGAUACUUUGACUUCAAAAUUUGGAUGUAAGGAUAUGUUGCUUUGGAAAAGAGUCUCUUUUGUUUCCACAGAAAGCAAGAGGCUAUGGAUUUGUUCCAGAGUAAGAUACAUCAGGUUUGACCAGCCAAGACCCCCUGAAAGGUCUCCGAUGACACCAUGGCCCAGAUGAUUCAACAUCCAGAACCAUUUCAAGGCAACUGGCUCAGACGAAUACACCCUCAUGGACUACUCCAUAAUCCUAAAAUUUUCUUUGUUUCCCCUGAAGAUACAGCGCCCCCCUCCAGCAGGAAGUAGUAAGAGAAGCUACGCCCAAAUUCCCAAAUAUACCAAGCUGACUUUGGAGAUGUGUAAAGGUUAAAACCUUCCUUUUUAAGAAAAGAAAAGGGGAGGUGCUGUGGGAUGGUCUGUAUGUCAAAUGUGUUGCUGAUUGGUCAAUAAAUAAAUCACUGAUUGGCCCGUGGCCAGGCAGGAAGUAUAGGCGGGACAAGGAGGAGAAUAGAGCUGGGAAGUGGAAGGCUGAGUCAGAGAGACACUGCCAGCCGCCAUCAGGAUAAGGAAGAUGUAAAGUACCGGUAAGCCACAAGCCACGUGGCAAGGUAUAGAUUAAUAGAAAUGGAUUAAUUUAAGCUGUAAGAACAGUUAGCAAGAAGCCUGCCACGGCCAUACAGUUUGAAACCAAUAUAAGUCUCUGUGUUUAUUUGAUCGGGUUUAAGCGGCUUGGGACUGGCGGGUGUCAGAGAUUUGUCCUGACUGUGGGCCAGGCAGGAAAACUCUAGCAACAACAAUGAGAUGCAUCUGCUCUAGGCAGGUACCAAUUUACUUCAGAGAUUCUGGGUAUUGGUGAAACUCCUUAUGGAGUUCGCUUUCAUUGUAGCAAGGUUAGCCACUGGGCAAAGAAACUGCUCAUGCUUUUGACUGCUGGCAAUGUUCUGUGCAGACUGGACAUGCAGGACACACAGGAAAAAGACUGUUGAACUUUGCCAAAACAAGGCUGGACAGUCCUUCAAAAUUCCUACUUCACAGAAGAGUCUGCCAGAUAUUUUGCAGGACACAGAAGAAAGCAACUGACAAACUUUGCCAAUACAAGGCAGGACAGUCCUUCAAAUUUCCUGCUUCACUGAAAAGUUUGCCAGAUAUUCUAGGCCUGUAGGCUAAAGAUGGAUACCCCAACUUUGCAGAGGAACUUUGGGUGACUGUCCAGGCAGCCAUAUUUCUCCAUCAGAUAGUAUUACAUCCUCCUGAGUCUUCGAUGAAGUUAAAGACUAGAUAGUUAUUGU